This 236-nucleotide ribosomal RNA is filed under the name uncultured bacterium. RNAcentral's name for it is "partial 16S ribosomal RNA". It matches the Rfam family "Bacterial small subunit ribosomal RNA", at positions 99 to 334 of the family's 1533-position model. The record is from RNAcentral.
CGACCGGGUGAGUAACACGUGACUAACCUACCUUCGAGUGGGGGAUAACCUCGGGAAACCGGGGCUAAUACCGCAUAAUAUCUUCGGGAUGAGAAGCCGAAGAUCAAAGGAGCAAUUCGCUGGAAGAGGGAGUCGCGGCUGAUUAGCUAGUUGGCGGGGUAAUGGCCCACCAAGGCUUUGAUCGGUAGCCGGCCUGAGAGGGUGAUCGGCCACACUGGAACUGAGACACGGUCCAG